This 1017-nucleotide ribosomal RNA is filed under the name uncultured organism. Its description in RNAcentral is "bacterial SSU rRNA". It matches the Rfam family "Bacterial small subunit ribosomal RNA", at positions 356 to 1376 of the family's 1533-position model. The record is from RNAcentral.
GAGGAAUAUUGGUCAAUGGGCGAGAGUCUGAACCAGCCAAGUAGCGUGAAGGAUGACUGCCCUAUGGGUUGUAAACUUCUUUUAUACGGGAAUAAAGUGAGGUACGUGUGCCUUUUUGUAUGUACCGUAUGAAUAAGGAUCGGCUAACUCCGUGCCAGCAGCCGCGGUAAUACGGAGGAUCCGAGCGUUAUCCGGAUUUAUUGGGUUUAAAGGGAGCGUAGGCGGACGCUUAAGUCAGUUGUGAAAGUUUGCGGCUCAACCGUAAAAUUGCAGUUGAUACUGGGUGUCUUGAGUACAGUAGAGGCAGGCGGAAUUCGUGGUGUAGCGGUGAAAUGCUUAGAUAUCACGAAGAACUCCGAUUGCGAAGGCAGCCUGCUGGACUGUAACUGACGCUGAUGCUCGAAAGUGUGGGUAUCAAACAGGAUUAGAUACCCUGGUAGUCCACACAGUAAACGAUGAAUACUCGCUGUUUGCGAUAUACAGUAAGCGGCCAAGCGAAAGCGUUAAGUAUUCCACCUGGGGAGUACGCCGGCAACGGUGAAACUCAAAGGAAUUGACGGGGGCCCGCACAAGCGGAGGAACAUGUGGUUUAAUUCGAUGAUACGCGAGGAACCUUACCCGGGCUUGAAUUGCAACUGAAUGAUGUGGAGACAUGUCAGCCGCAAGGCAGUUGUGAAGGUGCUGCAUGGUUGUCGUCAGCUCGUGCCGUGAGGUGUCGGCUUAAGUGCCAUAACGAGCGCAACCCUUAUCGAUAGUUACCAUCAGGUUAUGCUGGGGACUCUGUCGAGACUGCCGUCGUAAGAUGUGAGGAAGGUGGGGAUGACGUCAAAUCAGCACGGCCCUUACGUCCGGGGCUACACACGUGUUACAAUGGGGGGUACAGAAGGCAGCUACACGGCGACGUGAUGCUAAUCCCGAAAGCCUCUCUCAGUUCGGAUUGGAGUCUGCAACCCGACUCCAUGAAGCUGGAUUCGCUAGUAAUCGCGCAUCAGCCACGGCGCGGUGAAUACGUUCCCG